Carassius auratus (goldfish) is the source of this 4300-nucleotide RNA transcript. It is a transcript of the gene named E3 ubiquitin-protein ligase RNF182-like, with no coding region annotated. The transcript is spliced from 2 exons. NCBI's taxonomy places the organism in Eukaryota, Metazoa, Chordata, Actinopteri, Cypriniformes, Cyprinidae. The record is from RefSeq and is a predicted model, not a curated record.
GCUUAUUUAUUUGAAUGGAGGGUGUCUGAGAAGUCUGUUAAUGAAUCUGAAAUAGUAGGCAAGUCUUAUCUUUUUUUUUUAUUCUGGAUUAUAAGUGUCCAGGACAACAACGUGAGCUGCUGAAAUGUCAAACAGGUGAAUGACUCAAAAUGGGGAAUAAACGCACAGCUUUCAUUUCAAUGGAGUCGGGAAUGAUGCAUUAAAGAAAAACAGCAAAGGUUUGAACAGCAAAGAAGGAGUUAAAUCUACUGACGCAAACAGCAUCAUUUAGGCGAAAGGCUCGCGCUGUUUGACCCGGGCGCGUGUCUGAUGCUUUGAUUGAGGUCUGAUGCCCGCGUCCCGCAUCUUUCUGCGCUCGCAGCCGCCCAUCGGUUCUGGAUGAGAGCGAUUAAAGUUGCCCUUCAGGCGGCAUUACAUCACCUCCCGCCCGGACCGGAACGAUACGGUUAAUUAUUUACUCAGUGUGCACGCUUUUAAAAAUGCCUGACACAACAAAUGUCCGGUUUUAACGGCUUUCGCUGACAGGAUAAAGAGAAGAAAAGGUGGCUGGCGUGACUGGCUGGCACCCAUUGUGUCGGGGAUGUGAAGCGGCGCGAGAUGCCAUGGCAGCGGCGGAUGCAGCAGCAGCUAACGGGCCGGAGCCGCCCGGUCUCCCGGUACCCAAGGCGUUUCCCUACGAGGAAUACGAGUGCAAAAUCUGCUACAACUUUUUCGACCUCGACCGUCGGGCGCCUAAGAUCUUGGAGUGUCUGCACACGUUUUGCGAGGAGUGUCUGCACGCGCUGCAGCUGUGCGAGGAGGGGCCGUGGCGCAUCAGCUGCCCCGUGUGCCGCCACCGCACGCCCGUACCGGACAACCGGAUCCAGAACCUGCCGAACAACACUAAGGUCACGGAAGACUUCCCUGUGUACAUCGACUCAAACCCCGUGCCUCAGGAUGCUCUUCCGUCCCACCGGCCUCCGCUGCAUCCGGCGCUCGUGGCGCUCCGGCGCGAGGAGGACGCGUCUGUGGCGUCCAUGGCUGGGCACGCGACGCCGUCCACUACGACGGUGUCCACCGCGACCACGCUGUCCCAGGAGUCGGUCUCGCGUUACGAGAGCUGCCAAAACUGUUGCUGUCUCGCGCUGACCACCGGAUGCGUGUGCGUCAUUUUCUCUUUACUGUCUAUGCUAGUGCUGCUCUUCAUGGGCCUCAUUUUCUUAUUCAGCCACGGCGAGCCGCUCUCGUCCGCGGGACCCCUCUGUCUGUCGGUGGCCAGCAUCCUCGCCAUGGUGUCUGCGGUGGUAACGUGGCUCCUCUACUGGCUCAAAGACCGAACGGAGCACGAGACGGGCCGCUCCUCGGCCACCACUAGCGCGAGCCGGAGAAACGCGUGACAGAAGAUCAGAAGCGUAUGACAAGCCCUUUCAGUAGGCUAUUUAUUUCUUAGUACCGUUAUACAAGGAGAAGCCAUGGCACAUCAGAUAUCCCCAUAUGCCUCACGUACCAGACUACCGGGUACAGAACCUGCCCUACGGCAUCCGCAGCAACCGGAUACAUGUGCGCCAUCUUCUCCUGUCUGUCCAGUCUUGUGUUUCUCUUCACGGCCUCAUAUUCACGCACGGCUGCCUGAGGUUUUUCUGCUAGGACACCUGCGUGAGCUUGAGAAGAACUGACUUCAUACAUCCACUCAAAAUCAUCAAAACAUCAGUUGUUUAAAGAUAGUUGCAAAAACAUUCUGGGUAAAACCCCACAGCUGCUAUUUGAUAUUCAGACUUUGGUUGUGGAGCCACUAUAGUGGGGUCCCAAAGUCCAACAAUGAGACCACAAGUGAAAAUGCAUAUAUUUUGUAUUGUUUUAUAAUUUAAUCCAACUUUAUUAUUAAUUCAUUUUAAAUUAAUGCAUUUGGCAGAUACUUUGUUCCUAAACAAUUUACAUUGCAUUUAAGCUAUACAUUUUAUUAAUUCCUCCAUUCCCUAGGAAUCCCUAGGAAUGGCAUGUGCAAAGUUUAAUUGAAAAACUGCUCAGUGUCACAAAUUUGCAUGCUGACUUAGUACUUCUUUUAUAGUUUAUGUCAUGACCUUCUUCUUCUUCUUCUUCUUAUUUUGUUUUAUCCAAAUAAUUCGGUUUAUAUCCAGGUUUAAAUAAUAAAAUGUGCUCUCAGACUUUUGGACCCCACUGUAGGCCAACAUAAUACAGUUGUUCAAAUACGUGUUUCAAAUGAGACGUGCACUUAUUUGGCAUUUAAAAUUAAUAUUCACUAAUAAAGUCUGGUGGCUAGGUAAAACACUUAUUUGACACAAUUUAUCAGAUGAUAUUCUCCAAAUUGCUGCUGGGUGUUGUUUUCCUCUCCUUUAUCAUAUUCAAAAAAGAUCUCUUUGUUCUCAUGGAUCAAUAGAUUUAUUAGGGAAACUGCACAUUUGAUACCCCCUCUGUUCUCCACUUCACCUAUGCAUCUAUCACGGUAAAACCGUGUCGUCUGUGUGUGCUUUUAAUGUGCGUAGCAUCACAAUGCAUUGACCUUUGUACUUUACCACCUCGUUCAUCAGAUGUUUGUAUCAUGCAAACCUGUGAUGAGCAGUCCCUGAUGCCCUGCAUGAUGUUAAACAAACACUAGAUACUGAACUGUGCUUGAAAACCAAGGUCAGCCUUCACUGCUUGACGAAAGCUUCCUUGUUAAUCGAAUCAAUACUGCUGAUUUCUACAUUAAGCAAUAGCAAAUCAGUCAUUUAUUAAGGGUAUUUGAUAUGAUGAUGUUUCAUGUAAAAAUUGUUGGUUGAAAUCUAUACACGCCGUAUUCAGAUCUACGUUAAAGGCAUACUCAUAUUUAAUGUUGCACAACAAAAUUUUGUGGGCGAAUUCCAGUCAUUCAAAUAGACAUAGGAAAAGUUGGCCGCUGCUUGCUAUAAAAGUGACUUUUGUGCAAGCUGUGCAUUAUAAAUCUGAGAAUGGACUAUUUUUGUCCAUGAAAUUUCACUAAUGUGUGUGCAUAGCAGGUGAAGCAAGCAGGAAUCUGACACCUGAGGAGCAGCUAGAGUUUUACUGUGUCCUUGCAGUGACAGGAUGCAGUCAUAGAGAAACCACUGAUAAAGACUCACACACAUGGGACCGCCGCCAAGACGUGCUUUCGAGUGUUUACUGACCCACUUAUGAUAUUCUGCAUCUCUCCUAUAGGCCAUUUGUCUUGGUGUCACAAACUGAAAUAUUCAUCCAGCUAACUAUAGCUUGUUAACCUGAGUGCAAAACACAUUCUAACUAACCCGCUUUGGCAUUAUACUGAAUAUAACGUCUAGCUGUUUGUUUAGAGUUAAUGGUUUGAUGACGACGAUUAAAGGAAACUUUAUGGCCUAAAUUUCCUUCCACUAGGGUAAAGGUGAUUUCUUUAGAAUGGUAAACAUACUUGAUCAUUCUCUUAAAGGGAUAGUUCAUCACCCUCAUGCUAUUCCUGAAUCCACUUGUUUAAUCUGUGGAACUCAAAAGGAGAAAUAUUAAAAACCUCAUGCUCUAAAUAGGACAAGAGUAAACAUGAGGGUGUUUAAAUCAUUUUCAAUCACUACUUCUUUAAAUGAGCUCUUACGUGCCUUUACUUUUUAUUUAUUGGUUUAUUUAUUAAAGGAAUGGAAUUUUUGAAUAGGAAUUAACAAGUGAAGUUUAUAUAAGCUUACUAUUUGAUAAGUUGUAGGCAGAUGUGAUGGAUCAAUCCAGGUCUGCCCUCUUCUGGUGGACUUCUAGUGAUGCAGUCAGUUGUGUGUAGUCAUGGUUUUGAUUAGGUUUUUGUAAGGAAGGUUUUACAAAGUGAAUUAUUGCAGCAGUGAUUUAUACACGCUAAGGUUAUUUUCAUGAGUGUUAGGGAUGUAAACAGUAAACAGUGUCUGCGGCUAUCGUGCUGUACAAAGCCACAUUUGUAAAGAAAGUAGUGUAAUGUGCAUUGCAACAGUGUUUUAGUCACCAGCUUCACAGCUCCUCCUGCAAUUCUGCUGAGGAAAAUAUGUCAUAAUAGUUUAUACCGUGACCUCAGUUUACUGCCUUUUUGAUCCCCGCUGAAAAGACCAACAACAAGAUUUGGGGUCAGUAAGAUUUUUGUUUGUUUUUAAAAGAAAGAACGCAUUAUAUCAAUCAAAAGUUACAGGAAAGACAUUUAAAAAGUCACAAAAGAUGUCUGUUAUAAAGUAAAUUAUUCAGAAGUUUCUAUUCAUCAAAGAAUCCUGAAAAAUCAUGGAUUUCACAAAAAUAAGCAGCAACAAAUUUGAUCACAAACAAAAAUGUUUCUCGAGUAGCAAAUCAGCACAUUAUGAUUUCUGAAGAUCAUGUGACACUGAAG